RNAcentral lists this ribosomal RNA (433 nucleotides) under uncultured bacterium. RNAcentral's name for it is "partial 16S ribosomal RNA". It matches the Rfam family "Bacterial small subunit ribosomal RNA", at positions 29 to 507 of the family's 1533-position model. The record is from RNAcentral.
AACGAACGCUGGCGGCAUGCCUAACACAUGCAAGUCGAACGAGACCUUCGGGUCUAGUGGCGCACGGGUGCGUAACGCGUGGGAACCUGCCCUUAGGUUCGGAAUAACUCCCCGAAAGGGGUGCUAAUACCGGAUAAUGUCUUCGGACCAAAGAUUUAUCGCCUUUGGAUGGGCCCGCGUUGGAUUAGCUAGUUGGUAGGGUAAAAGCCUACCAAGGCGACGAUACAUAGCUGGUCUGAGAGGAUGAUCAGCGACACUGGGACUGAGACGCGGCCCAGACUCCUACGGGAGGCAGGAGUGGGUAAUAUUGGACAAUGGGCGAAAGCCUGAUCCAGCAAUGCCGCGUGAGUGAUGAAGGCCUUAGAGUAGUAAAGCUCUUUUACCCGGGAUGAUAAUGACGGUACCGGGAGAAUAAGCUCCGGCUAACUCCGUG